Molecule: ribosomal RNA, 444 nt
Filed under: uncultured bacterium
Lineage: Bacteria
Description: SSU rRNA
Rfam family: Bacterial small subunit ribosomal RNA
Source: RNAcentral
AGAGCGAACGCUGGCGGCAGGCCUAACACAUGCAAGUCGAGCGCCCCGCAAGGGGAGCGGCAGACGGGAGAGUAACACGUGGGAACGUACCCUUCAGUUCGGAACAACCCAGGGAAACUUGGGCUAAUACCGAAUACGUCCGUAAGGAGAAAGAUUUAUCGCUGAAGGAUCGGCCCGCGUCUGAUUAGCUUGUUGGUGAGGUAACGGCUCACCAAGGCGACGAUCAGUAGCUGGUCUGAGAGGAUGAUCAGCCACACUGGGACUGAGACACGGCCCAGACUCCUACGGGAGGCAGCAGUGGGGAAUAUUGGACAAUGGGGGCAACCCUGAUCCAGCAAUGCCGCGUGAGUGAUGAAGGCCUUAGGGUUGUAAAGCUCUUUCGCCCGCGACGAUGAUGACGGUAGCGGGAGAAGAAGCCCCGGCUAACUUCGUGCCAGCAGCCGC